UGGGGAAUUUUGGACAAUGGGCGCAAGCCUGAUCCAGCCAUUCCGCGUGCAGGAUGAAGGCCCUCGGGUUGUAAACUGCUUUUGUACAGAACGAAAAAGGCCUGGCUAAUAUCUGGGUCUCAUGACGGUACUGUAAGAAUAAGCACCGGCUAACUACGUGCCAGCAGCCGCGGUAAUACGUAGGGUGCGAGCGUUAAUCGGAAUUACUGGGCGUAAAGCGUGCGCAGGCGGUUUCGUAAGACCGAUGUGAAAUCCCCGGGCUCAACCUGGGAACUGCAUUGGUGACUGCGAAACUGGAGUGCGGCAGAGGGAGAUGGAAUUCCGCGUGUAGCAGUGAAAUGCGUAGAUAUGCGGAGGAACACCGAUGGCGAAGGCAGUCUCCUGGGCCUGCACUGACGCUCAUGCACGAAAGCGUGGGGAGCAAACAGGAUUAGAUACCCUGGUAGUCCACACAGUAAACGAUGUAUACUCGCGGUUUGCGAUAGAGUGUAAGCCGCCAAGCGAAAGCAUUAAGUAUACCACCUGGGGAGUACGCCGGCNACGGU
This 545-nucleotide ribosomal RNA is filed under the name uncultured bacterium. RNAcentral's name for it is "bacterial SSU rRNA". It matches the Rfam family "Bacterial small subunit ribosomal RNA", at positions 355 to 895 of the family's 1533-position model. The record is from RNAcentral.